GGAUGAACGCUAGCGAUAGGCUUAACACAUGCAAGUCGAGGGGCAGCGGGAUGUAGCGAUACAUUGCCGGCGACCGGCGCACGGGUGCGUAACGCGUAUGCAACCUGCCCAAUUUCGGAGGAUAACCCGUUGAAAGACGGACUAAAACUCCAUACCACCGUAAUGUCACCUGGGAUUAUGGUAAAACGAGAAGGAAAUUGGAUGGGCAUGCGUUCCAUUAGAUAGUUGGUGGGGUAACGGCCCACCAAGUCGACGAUGGAUAGGGGAACUGAGAGGUUUAUCCCCCACACUGGUACUGAGACACGGACCAGACUCCUACGGGAGGCAGCAGUGAGGAAUAUUGGUCAAUGGACGGAAGUCUGAACCAGCCAAAUCGCGUGAAGGAUGGCGGCCCUAUGGGUUGUAAACUUCUUUAGCAGGGGAUUAAAGGCGGGUAUGUAUGCCCGUUUGCAGGUACCCUGAGAAUAAGCAUCGGCUAACUCCGUGCCAGCAGCCGCGGUAAUACGGAGGAUGCGAGCGUUAUCCGGAUUUAUUGGGUUUAAAGGGUGCGUAGGCUGGUUGUUAAGUCAGCGGUGAAAUUUCGGGGCUCAACCCCGGCAGUGCCGUUGAAACUGGGAGCCUUGAGUACAGAGCAAGUAAGCGGAAUUUGUGGUGUAGCGGUGAAAUGCAUAGAUAUCACGAGGAAUGCCGAUUGCGCAAGCAGCUUACUGUCUUGUCACUGACGCUAAAGCACGAAAGCGUGGGUAUCGAACAGGAUUAGAUACCCUGGUAGUCCACGCCGUAAACUAUGAUUACUAGCUGUUUGCGAUAUAUUGUAAGCGGCACAGCGAAAGCGUUAAGUAAUCCACCUGGGGAGUACGCCGGCAACGGUGAAACUCAAAGGAAUUGACGGGGGCCCGCACAAGCGGAGGAACGUGUGGUUUAAUUCGAUGAUACACGAAGAACCUUACCAGGGUUUGACAUACAGGUGGUAGAGAAGCGAAAGUGGAACGACCCUUCGGGGAGCCUGAACAGGUGCUGCAUGGCUGUCGUCAGCUCGUGUCGUGAGAUGUUCGGUUAAGUCCGCUAACGAGCGCAACCCUUGUUGUGUGUUACACGUAUCACACGAGACCGCCGGUAGAAAGCCGGAGGAAGGUAGGGAUGACGUCAAGUCAGCAUGGCCUAUAUAUCCUGGGCUACACACACGCUACAAUGAUCGAUACAAUGGGUAGCCAAGCCGCGAGGCGGAGCCAAUCCUAAAAAGUCGGUCUCAGUUCAGAUUGCAGGCUGCAACUCGCCUGCAUGAAGAUGGAGUUGCUAGUAACCGCAGGUCAGCGAUACUGCGGUGAAUACGUUCCCGGGCCU
Molecule: ribosomal RNA, 1344 nt
Filed under: uncultured bacterium
Lineage: Bacteria
Description: bacterial SSU rRNA
Rfam family: Bacterial small subunit ribosomal RNA
Source: RNAcentral